This 96-nucleotide microRNA precursor is filed under the name Dipodomys ordii (Ord's kangaroo rat). RNAcentral's name for it is "microRNA 221 (ENSDORG00000020331.2)". The stretch from base 11 to 94 matches the Rfam family "mir-221 microRNA precursor family". The record is from RNAcentral. Lineage: Eukaryota; Metazoa; Chordata; Mammalia; Rodentia; Heteromyidae.
AUCCAGGUCUUGAGGCAUGAACCUGGCAUACAAUGUAGAUUUCUGUGUUUGUUAAGCAACAGCUACAUUGUCUGCUGGGUUUCAGGCUACCUGGAA